Long non-coding RNA from Grus americana (Whooping crane), 5760 nucleotides. RefSeq lists it as uncharacterized. The record is from RefSeq and is a predicted model, not a curated record. Lineage: Eukaryota; Metazoa; Chordata; Aves; Gruiformes; Gruidae. The transcript has 5 exons.
UCCCGUGAUGGGUGGCUGUGUGCUGGGGAAGGGAAGAGGGAGCCUCAGAAGGGAUGUCCAUCCAGAUGCCACCUGUCAGGCAGGGUGAUGAGUUUGGGGAGGUGGUGAGCACCUGAGGGAAGCCUGCUCUUCUCAUUUUGGGUGGGCAACCUCACCCUCCAGCUGCAUGGUUCUGGGAUGGUUGAAGGACUGGGCAUCUCCAUCCCUGUCACCUCUCCUGGGACAUCCAGAUGGUUUUGGUGCUUGUCUCUUUUUCAGAACCUACUUGGAACCAAAUGGCUCCAGCCGUUGCUCAGGAAGAGUUGAGGUGCACCAAAACCAGCAGUGGGGGACGGUGUGCGAUGCCAGCUGGGACCUGAGUGAUGCCAAGGUGGUCUGCCGGCAGCUGGCAGGGCUCCGUUUGGGCAAGGACACUGUCCCAUCUGGCUGGACAAAGUGAACUGUACAGGGAUGGAAGGUGCCAUCACUGAAUGCAGCUUCAAGCUCUGGGGAGCCCAUAACUGCAGCCAUGGUGAAGAUGCAGGUGUCAUGGGCUCAGACCUCACGGAGCUACGGCUGGUGAACAGCACAAAUUGCUGUGCUGGGUGCCUCAAGGUGCUUCACGACCAGCAGCGGGUGUCCGUGUGCAACAACGGAUGGGACAUGGAGGAUGCUGCAGUGGUCUGCCAGCAGCUGGGCUGCAGGGUGGCUGUGUCAGCGCCAGGCUCGGCUCAUUUUGGGCCAAGAUCCAACCAUAUCUAGCUGGGUGAUGUUGAGUGCACGGGGACAGAAGCUACCCUCUCCGAAUGCAAGUCCAGGAUGGAGGAACCCAGUAAUUGCCACCAUGGAGAAGAUGCUGGUGUUGUGUGCACAGCUCUGGAUGAAGAGAUGUUUGCUUUCUCCCCACCGGCUCUUUUACCAUCAGACCUCUGCUGCUGCUCCCAUCGCUGAUCUCAGUCAUCCCUCCAGUCUCGAUGCUGGUCUGCAGGGCUCUUCUGUACCAGAGGAGGACAUGAAUGCAAAAUAGGGCUUUUAAUUCCCCAAGGUUUUGUGCACAUGGAGGAGCUGGUUGUCUCUGAUAUGUUCAUCUUGACGCCUGGAGAAGAGCAAGCGGCAGCCAAGGUGGCUCCUGCUGUGGAUGCUGACAACAAGAACACUCAGCACAGCCUGUGACCAGCCCAAACCUAAAACUCCAGUGAUGCAGCUCCGUCCCAGCACACAGCCCUUUCACCGAGGGCCCUGGACCACCUCAUCUCUACAGAGCCUGUUGGAGGGGUUUUUGUUGGAGGCUUUUUUUCUUAGGGUUUUUUUUUUAAUAGCCAGUCAGAGGAGGCUGCAAUAUAUUCCAGGGCUUGUUUCCCUACAAUGGGUAAGUUGAAUAGCUUUGCAAACUCCACCCGAAAGCUCCUGUAGAUGUUUGGAGCUAUCCACGGUGUCCUAGUUCUAGGACAUUGAUAUGGGACUGGCAAAUGUGACAAAGGACCUACAGAUGCAUCUGUAUGAGGGCAACUAGAUCUCACUGGUCACUUCCAUCUGCUGUAUUCCCAAACAUGCUCAUGUGCCUUGUGUCCUUGAACAUCAGUGUCCUGGGGCCUCUUGGAGGACAGGGGCUUCUUGUGAAGGGCUUGGAGGACACAGAGGUGUGAAUCAGCCAUGCAGAGGGAUGCUGGCAGGAGGUUUAAGAAGCUCUAGUCAUAGAAAUAAGCACUGGGUACCACCACAGCUCAUGCCAACCCAAGUGGUAUUGGGACUAUGAGCAGCUGAGCAGGACCCCAUGCAAGCACCCUGCCGUGUGUUGGCAGGAUAGUCCUGCUCAUGAAGGACUGAAGGACUCAUCAAGGCCAGGUUGGAUGGAGCUUUGAGCAACCUGGUCUAAUGGAGGGUGUCCCUGCCAAUGGCAGGGGGGUUGGAACUAGAUGAUCUUUGAGGUCUGUUCCAACCCAAACCAUUCUGUGAUUCUAUGACCAGGAAAACAGGUAGCCAACCAGAGGGAAACGGGAUGAGCGAUGUGAUAAAUACAGUGGCUGUAGUGGGGUAAAAGCAUGAACGUCUGCAAGGCAGGGGAAGAGAGGAAAUGGGAUGCAUGCUGGGUUACAGGGGCUUAGAAGAUGAAGGCUUGGAAUACCCUGAGAGUAUCGACCAAUCUGGAAAAUAGAAGAUGGCUUGCACAAUGUGCGGAAAGCAUCUGCCAAGGGAAACGAGGAGUGCAUGAAGAGCCCAAAGAGGCCAAAAGCUUGGAGAACUAAUGAGUAAAAGUUGAUCCUACAGCGUGCAGGACAUUUGCAAAGGAGGAUCAGACAAGACCAUGGCCAAGUCUAUGGCUGUGGUAUGCACAGAGAAGUGUUUAAGGCUUGCGGAAGUGCUUCUCUAAGUAAUCCAGGCCUGCAAGCUGAUGAUCAGUGAGCUGCUGAUAGCCUCGGGCUUUCCAGUGUGCCCCAUCUCUUAUCAUCCCAUGUCCUCUACGCCGACUUGUGUGUUUCCACUUCUCAAGGCUUCUGCUGUAACACCAGCUUUCUGUUUUCGCCUGGGUUUGAAAGCCCCGGGACACCUCUAGAUGGACUGCUUCUGGAGGGUGAUGGGGACUACAGCAGGGCUGGAUUCUUCACCCCUUAUCCAGGCUUCCACAGCUAUCUCAGUAGGUCUUGUCCCACCAGGCACCCAGGUCCUGGCACCAUAACCAGAAGUAUGCAACACAUGGUCCCUUUUGUGCUGCAGCAACACCCUUUAGUCAGCUGAAAUACACCUUAUUUCAGGCACUUUGAGAUGAAAACAUACAUCAGAAUUAAUAGUUCUGCCGUAGGCCAUGAGGACAUCCUGUGCUGACCCCGACUGCAUUGAUCCUGCUCUCUGCUAAUGAGCAGGGUAACGGUCAUUCCCCUAAUGACCCUAAUGAGGGUAAUGGAGAUGCACACAGCAGAAUUUGCCAAGUUAGCUUCUCUUUCUUCUCGUUCCUACAGCUGUGGCCCAGGGUUACGCUCUACCUACCUCCACCCCUAAGAAGCACAGUUCCCUUUUCAGCCUUUUCCCGGCAUGGUUUAGAUGAGUUCAGCUCCUGGGUCCUCCCUUGUGUGGUUGGUUGGUCACCUCAGGCUGCUGCAGAGCCUCCCGUUCCUUCAUCUCCUCAGUGGAUGAGCGUUGUGGACACAUCCCUGGCUGCUCCAGUUCGAGGCAACCUGGAUAUUUGACCAGGGAUGCUUGGUUGGCUCUUUACAGAGGGCUGGGAGGUGAGACAGGAGAUCCAGCCACCAGUGUGGUGGGACAGGCAGUUCACCCACCACCCAACAUCUCCUUGGGCACUAACUUUGACUCUAUAACCUGCCCAUCUUUCAGGUUGUCCUUAAAGCAAAUGGAGGUGGCAAGAAAGGGUUAGGAGUGGGGUAAAGCUCUUUUUAAGGGUAGAAAUGGGAUCUGGGUCGCUGUGUGUGUCUAACGGCACUGAGGGACAUAAGGGGACCUUGCAAAAAGGAAUUGACACCCAUGCACAGGUCUCUGAAACAUCCACGGUUGGGGUGUGCUGAUCCUACACGCAUUUUCCAGCCUGUCCCUGCAGCCCCUUUCAGUGUCCUCUGCAAAUGGGCCCUGGGACUAACUCUGGUCCAUGCCCUGCUGCCCCUGGACACUGACACUUCUGACCCAUCAGUCGUGCUGCCUUCUCCAUGGGGUGAUAAAUAAGGCAAUGGCCCUUGCUAGUAGAUGCUUCUCCAUGGGAUAUCCAUUUCUGUGUCUCCUGACUAUCAUCGCAGUGAUGAUCCCCUGGGAGGGAUUUCCUUUGGGAGGCCCUUGGGGGAGGUUCAGUAUGAAUGACACCAAAGGACAGGCAGAUGAAGGGGUGAGGGGAUCAGUGUCUGGGCAGGCAGCAAUUUGCUUUGUAUCCUCCUCCCCUAGUUCCCAGUCGCGACCAUGACUCUGAGCACAGCUUAUGUCCCUCCCCAGCACCAUCUCCUCCCCCCUCCCAGCCCCGGUGGGGCUGAACUCAGCCCCUGAAGGGUCUGUGAGAGCAGCUGGGGCUGCCUGGCUGCCUGUGCCAGAUCCAGAACUGCAAGGAUCCUCAGGGCCUGUGGGGUGGAUCUGAACGGCUGCCAGGGCACAUGGCAGCCCAAAUGUCCAGACAUGGUGCUGGGGAGUCCUACAGCCUGGCUGCAGGUAGAGGGGCAUCAGUGUGGAACCAUAUGAAAUCAGAGGAACCAUAUGAAAUUCAAUAAGGGCAAAUGUAGGGUCCUGCACCCAGGGAGGAAUAACCCCAGGCACCAGUACAGGUUAGGGGUUGACCUGCUGGGAAGCAGCUCUGCGGAGAAGGACCUGGGAGUCCUCGUGGACAAGCUAAGCAUGAGCCAGCAAUGUGCCCUCGUGGCCAAGGUGGCCAAUGGUGUCCUGGGGUGUAUUAAGAAGAGUGUGGCCAGCAGGUCAAGGGAGGUUCUCCUCCCCCUCUACUCUGCCCUGCUGAGGCCACAUCUGGAAUAUUGUGUCCAGUUCUGGGCUCCCCAGUUCGAGACAGACAGGGAACUACUGGAGAGAGUCCAGCUGAGGGCUACAAAGGUGAUUAAGGAACUUGAGCAACUCUCUUCUGAGGAAAGGCUGAGAGAGCUGGGUCUGUUUAGCCUGGAGAAGAGAAGACUGAGAGGGGAUCUUAUCAACAGUUAUAAAUAUCUAAAGAGUGGAUGUCUAGAGGAAGGGGCCAGACUCUUCUCUAUGGUGCCCAGCGACAGCACAAGGGGCAAUGGGCACAAAGUGGAACACAGGAAGUUCCAUCUGCAUAUGACGAAAAAUUUCUUCACUUUGAGGGUGACAGAGCACUGGAACAGGCUGCCCAGAGAGGCUGUGGAGUCUCCUUCUCUGGAGAUAUUCAAAACCCGCCUGGACACAAUCCUGUGCAACCUGCUCUAAAUGAUCCUGCUCUAGCAGGGGGGUUGGACUAAAUGAUCUCCAGAGGUCCCUUCCAACCCCUACCAAUCUGGGAAUCUGAGAAUCUGGAGAAAACCAUGUAAUUGCCAGCAUCAGACCAUUUAUACUAUUAUAUUUUCAAGCUGUGAACUUCCUCCAUCCCUGUUAUGGCUGAUGGAUUUUUCUCCAGCUCAAGUUAUUUCCUGGGAUCUCUUCUUUAGUUUUAUCUGGACAGAGUUUGCAACAGAUUAAUUCAUCACUGAAGAGGAGGAUGAGAGAUUUCAGCUGCUUCAGAUCAGCAGAAGUUGCUGCAAUGCAAAAGCCAAGGGGUAGCACAAGAUGAGUUCGCAGUGCAUUGGCCAUGGUGGGCUGAACCAUGGAGAUGCUGGCAUGUGCAGAACUCAGUCAUUUGCAAAGACCCCGAGUGCUCAAGUGCAGAUAUCUGUGCUGGGCUGCCAUUACAACCACUGGGAGCAGUCAUCAGAGAUAAAAAAGCCACAUGAGAUCCUGAUGGCUUCUCCCAUUUCGCAUCCCCACCUGGCAGAGAACAGUUCGUGACGCUUGGCUCUUGGCACGUACGUGAUCUCUUUGCUGUCCCUGAAAGGUGAGUUCGGAGACUGCAAGGCAGUCACAGGGUAGCAUUUCCAAUUGCUUGCCCUCAAACAAUAAAGUGAUUUUCUGCCAUCUAGCUAUGCAUCCAUGCAAUGCAAUGAAAUGAAUUUAAUGGUGCACCAUGUCUGGCUUUGAAUGUUUUCCUUUUCCAGUACCCAGCUGCAAAUGAGUUCUCCGAAAUCAUCAUCUCCAUGUGCUGCAGCAGCCAAAAAAACCCAACAAAAUGUUGCAUACCCUAAGAAAAGCACUGAGGACACAGCAGGGGGUGUAAUUUUGCUGCAAUAUACA